RNAcentral lists this ribosomal RNA (406 nucleotides) under uncultured bacterium. RNAcentral's name for it is "partial 16S ribosomal RNA". It matches the Rfam family "Bacterial small subunit ribosomal RNA", at positions 30 to 526 of the family's 1533-position model. The record is from RNAcentral.
AUUGAACGCUGGCGGCAGGCCUAACACAUGCAAGUCGAACGAGUGGCGGACGGGUGAGUAAUGUCUGGGAAACUGCCUGAUGGAGGGGGAUAACUACUGGAAACGGUAGCUAAUACCGCAUACCAUCAGAUGUGCCCAGAUGGGAUUAGCUAGUUGGUGGGGUAACGGCUCACCAAGGCGACGAUCCCUAGCUGGUCUGAGCGGCUGACAGUCAACACUGGAACGGAGACACGGUCCAGACUACUACGGGAGGCAGCAGUGGGGAAUAUGGCACAAUGGGCGAAAGCCUGAUGCAGCAAUGCCGCGUGUAUGAAGAAGGCCUUCGGGUGGUAAAGUACUUUCAGCGGGGAGGCGUUACCCGCAGAAGAAGCACCGGCUAACUACGUGCCAGCAGCCGCGGUAAUAC